AUCUCAAUAUUCUUCUUGUAGACAAGAAAUUCCUAUUGUUUUCUUUUCUCCCACAGGAAAACUUCUCAUCAGAAGAGAAACAAAUCAAGGUGACGGUAAUGGACAAAUCUUAAUAAAGUUCUAUUUUAGUAGAGUCUCAAGAUCAUCUACCAGUGUGGGUGACAUUGAAAUGAAAGGAUGAGAGACACCAGCUUUCUGUCCCAAGAAGUCAAAUAAACAAAAUGACAAACACACUUGCCUUCUUUUCUUUGGAGAAUGAAUGUUCCAGUCAGCACCAGUCUUGGGAUUUCUACUUGUGCAACGCUGUUACAGAUUUCCAAAAUAGAAGACCAACUCUUGAGUAAUGAACAAUCUACCUUCACAGCAAGAAACUGCUACAGGGAGCUCCUUGGUGAUGGUGUCCUUACAUGUAAAAUUUUCCUGCAUACUAUUAAAGACAAUUAAGUUAAAGAACAUCACCAGUCAGUGUGUAAGAGAUCAACUACUCUGUUACUGUUCUCAUUCCAAGAGAUACAAGAAUGAAAUUGUCAUUAAAAAAUUAAUCUUGGGGCUGGUGAGAUGGCUCAGUGGGUAAGAGCACCCAACUGCUCUUCCGAAGGUCCAGAGUUCAAAUCCCAGCAACCACAUGGUGGCUCACAACCAUCCGUAACAAGAUCUGACUCCCUCUUCUGGUGUGUCUGAAGACAGCUACAGUGUAC
RNAcentral lists this long non-coding RNA (698 nucleotides) under Mus spicilegus (steppe mouse). RNAcentral describes it as "lncRNA (ENSMSIG00000013868.1)". Lineage: Eukaryota; Metazoa; Chordata; Mammalia; Rodentia; Muridae. The record is from RNAcentral.